UAGGGAAUCUUCGGCAAUGGGGGCAACCCUGACCGAGCAACGCCGCGUGAGUGAAGAAGGUUUUCGGAUCGUAAAGCUCUGUUGUAAGAGAAGAACGUGUGUGAGAGUGGAAAGUUCACACAGUGACGUUAACUUACCAGAAAGGGACGGCUAACUACGUGCCAGCAGCCGCGGUAAUACGUAGGUCCCGAGCGUUGUCCGGAUUUAUUGGGCGUAAAGCGAGCGCAGGCGGUUUAAUAAGUCUGAAGUUAAAGGCAGUGGCUUAACCAUUGUUCGCUUUGGAAACUGUUAAACUUGAGUGCAGAAGGGGAGAGUGGAAUUCCAUGUGUAGCGGUGAAAUGCGUAGAUAUAUGGAGGAACACCGGUGGCGAAAGCGGCUCUCUGGUCUGUAACUGACGCUGAGGCUCGAAAGCGUGGGGAGCAAACAGG
RNAcentral lists this ribosomal RNA (429 nucleotides) under bacterium. RNAcentral's name for it is "partial 16S ribosomal RNA". It matches the Rfam family "Bacterial small subunit ribosomal RNA", at positions 355 to 776 of the family's 1533-position model. The record is from RNAcentral.